Molecule: ribosomal RNA, 459 nt
Filed under: uncultured bacterium
Lineage: Bacteria
Description: partial 16S ribosomal RNA
Rfam family: Bacterial small subunit ribosomal RNA
Source: RNAcentral
CCUACGGGGCGCUGCAGUGAGGAAUAUUGGUCAAUGGGCGAGAGCCUGAACCAGCCAAGUCGCGUGAGGGAGUACUGCCCUAUGGGUUGUAAACCUCUUUUGUCGGGGAGCAAAAGCCGGACGUGUCCGGCUGUGCGAGUACCCGAAGAAAAAGCAUCGGCUAACUCCGUGCCAGCAGCCGCGGUAAUACGGAGGAUGCGAGCGUUAUCCGGAUUUAUUGGGUUUAAAGGGAGCGUAGGUGGAUUGUUAAGUCAGUUGUGAAAGUUUGCGGCUCAACCGUAAAAUUGCAGUUGAAACUGGCAGUCUUGAGUACAGUAGAGGUGGGCGGAAUUCGUGGUGUAGCGGUGAAAUGCUUAGAUAUCACGAAGAACUCCGAUUGCGAAGGCAGCUCACUGGACUGCAACUGACACUGAGGCUCGAAAGUGUGGGUAUCAAACAGGAUUAGAUACCCGGGUAGUC